RNAcentral lists this ribosomal RNA (1450 nucleotides) under Karenia brevis. RNAcentral describes it as "partial Bacterial small subunit ribosomal RNA". It matches the Rfam family "Bacterial small subunit ribosomal RNA". The record is from RNAcentral. Lineage: Eukaryota; Dinophyceae; Gymnodiniales; Kareniaceae.
UUGGUGAGUUUGAUCCUGGCUCGGGAUGAACGUUGGAGGCAUGCCUUGAGACAUGCAAGUUGGUCGGAAAUCAUUUCAAAUUUAAUUUCCGUAGCGGACGGGUGCGUAACACGUGAGAAUCAACCCUUAGGGACGAGGAUAAAGGUCGGUGACGAUUUCUAAAACUCUAUAAGCCGUGUCAAUUACCCAUGUAGUUGUCGGUGAAGAUUUCCUAGGGACGAGCUUGCGCCUGAUUAGUUAGUUGGCGAGGUAAUGGCUCACCAAGACUAUGAUCAGUAGCUGGUUUGAGAGAGCGGUCAGCCACAUUGGGAUUGAGAUACGGCCCAAACUUCUUCGGGGGGCAGCAGUCGGGAAUUUUCCGCAAUGGGCGCAAGCCUGACGGAGCGAUGCCUUGUGGAGGAUGAAGGAUCAUAAAGGUUCGUAAACUCCUUUUAUUAAGGAACAUUAAUUGUCGUUUCCGUAUUUAGAUAGUACUUAAAGAAUCAAGUAUCGGCUAACUCUGUGCCAGCAGCCGCGGUAAUACGGGGGAUGCAAACGUUGUCCAGUUGUAUUGGGCGUAAAGCGUCCGUAGGUGGACUGGUAAGUUUAUUGUUAAAGAUUCUGGCUCAACCAGGAAAAAGCAAUGAAAACUGCUGGACUAGAGAGUGGACGGGGUGAAGAGAAUAUCUAGUGGAGCGGUAAAAUGCGAUGAUAUUAGGCGGAACACCAGUGGCGAAAGCGCUUCACUAGACCAUUUCUGACACUGAGGGACGAAAGCUAGGGGAGCAAAAAGGAUUAGGUACCCUUGUAGUCCUAUCGCUGUAAACGCUGGGUACUAGAUGUCGCAGUGGUGCGGUGUCUUAGCUAACGCGUUAAGUACCCCGCCUGGGGAGUACGCUCGCAAGGGUGAAACUCAAAGGAAUUGACGGGACCCCUCGCAAGCGGUGGAGCAUGCUGUUUAAUUCGAUCAACGCGAAGAACCUUACCUAGAUUUGACCUUCUAUAAAUCUCCAUGAAAAUGGAGGAAACCAAACUUACAUGGUGUAAAAGCUUCUUAGGGAGCAGUAGUUACAGGUGGUGCAUGGCUGUCGUCAGUUCGUGUCGUGAGAUGUCAGGUUAAGUCCUAGUAACGAACGCAACCCUUAUCCUUAGUUAAUUAUAUGUCUAGGGAAACGGCCAACGAUCAAGUUGGAGGAAGGAGAGGAUGACGUCAAGUCAGCAUGCCCCGUAUGUCUAGGGCUACAAGCGUGCUACAAUGACUAUUCAACAAAAAGUCGCAACUUUGUGAAAGGAAGCGAAUCUACAAAUGAGGUCACAGUUCGGAUUGUAGGCUGCAACUCGGCUACAUGAAGUUGGAAUCGCUAGUAAUCGCUGGUCAGCUAUACAGCGGUGAACUUGUUUCAGGGGUUUGUACACACCGCCCGUCACACCCCUGAAGUUGACUAUACCAGGCGUCGUUGUCUUAACCACA